UGUUUUUCUUUUUUUCACAGUCAACGUCUUUAUGAAUCGUCAACGUACUGUUCAGAAAUUUAAAUCACAAAAAUACUAAACUCCCGAGGAAAAUUAAAAAAGGAAAGUCUCUUAUCAAAUUGCAAAAUCAAAAGCUCAAACACAUCAAACGAAUGCAUAACAACUGUCAUAUUCCUGACUUGGUACAUGCAUUUUCUUACGUUUCUU
This 207-nucleotide long non-coding RNA is filed under the name Mytilus galloprovincialis (Mediterranean mussel). The record is from RNAcentral. Lineage: Eukaryota; Metazoa; Mollusca; Bivalvia; Mytilida; Mytilidae.